RNAcentral lists this ribosomal RNA (1547 nucleotides) under uncultured eukaryote. Its description in RNAcentral is "SSU rRNA". It matches the Rfam family "Eukaryotic small subunit ribosomal RNA". The record is from RNAcentral.
AGUCAUAUGCUUGUCCUAAAGAUUAAGCCAUGCAUGUGUACGUUCAAGCCCUUGUACGGUGAAACUGCGGAUGGCUCAUUAUAUCAGUGAUAAUUUGGUUGAUGGAGAGAUAUCGUGGAUAACCGUGGUAAUUCUAUGGCUAAUACAUGCAGAGCAGACGCAAGUCUGGCAUUUAUUAGAUAAAGCCUUGGCGGCGGGGUAGCCCGUCGCUGCGGUGAGAGAUGAUAACUGGGCGGAAUCCGCUUUGGCGCGACGCAUCAAGGAAAUUUCUGCCCUAUCAACUGUGGACGGUAGGAUCGAGGCCUACCGUGGUGGUGACGGGUACGGGGAAUCGGGGUUUGAUUCCGGAGAGGGAGCCUGAGAGAUGGCUACCACUUCCAAGGAAGGCAGCAGGCGCGCAAAUUACCCAAUCCCGAGGCGGGGAGGUAGUGACAGGACAUGACGGGGCGGGGCCUGAUGGCUCUGCGACUGGAAUGAGGAAAAGAUAAAGCGAUUGACGAUUAACGAUUGGAGGGCAAGUCUGGUGCCAGCAGCCGCGGUAAUUCCAGCUCCAAUAGUAUACAUUAAAGUUGUUGCAGUUAAAACGCUCGUAGUCGGAAGGUGGGGGGCCGGGGGCGGAGCAGGGAGACCUGGAUCUGCGGCUGGCCCCUUUCGGCAGGUGCAUAAAACACCCGCCGCGUUACUGUGAGGAAAUUAGAGUGUUCAAAGCAGGCGUACGCUUGGAUAGGUUAGCAUGGAAUAACGGAGAGGUCCGUUGGUUGGAGCUUGGGUUGAUAGGGACAGUUGGGGGCAUUGGUAUUUGGCAGUCAGAGGUGAAAUUCUAGGAUUUGCCAAAGACGGACGGGGGCGAAGCAUUUGCCAAGGAUGUUUUCAUUGAUCAAGAACGAAAGUUGGGGGAUCGAAGACGAUUAGAUACCGUCGUAGUCUCGACCGUAAACGAUGCCGGCGUGGGGUGGGGAGGGGGAUAGGCUUCUCUCUACCCCAUGGAGAAAUCAGAGCGUGUGGGUUCUGGGGGGAGUAUGGUCGCAAGGCAGAAACUUGAAGGAAUUGACGGAAGGGCACCACCAGGAGUGGAUGCCUGCGCUUAAUUUGACUCAACACGGUUAAAACUCACCAGGUCCGGACAUGGGAAGGAUUGACAGACUGAGAGCUCUUUCACGAUUCUGUGGGAGGUGGUGCAUGGCCGUUGUUGGUUGGUGGAGUGAUUUGUCAAGGUUUAAUUCCGGUAAACGGGCGAGACGGGGGGGAAGUGGAUGGGCGGGCAAGAUGGCGACAAUUUGUUGGGCCCCCACUGCGACACGCGGCGCCAAGCCGCGGGAAGCGCCCCGCAAUAACAGGUCUGUGAUGCCCUUUGAUGUUCUGGGCUGCACGCGCGCUACACUGGCAGGGGGAGCGGGGGCCUGCGCCGAGAGGCGUGGGGAAUUCGGGAACGCCUGCCGUGCUGGGGAUAGAGGAUUGCAAUUGUUUGUCUUGAACGAGGAAUUCCUAGUAGGCGCGGGUCACUAGCUCGCGUCGACUACGUCCCUGCCCUUUGUACACACCGCCCG